This 1632-nucleotide long non-coding RNA is filed under the name Mytilus galloprovincialis (Mediterranean mussel). The record is from RNAcentral. Lineage: Eukaryota; Metazoa; Mollusca; Bivalvia; Mytilida; Mytilidae.
GGUUUUCAAUCACCAAAACUUCGUUGUUGCUCGGAAGUUUGUAGUUACUUAUGGUUGUGUUCUCUUAUACAUUUUCGUAUCACAAUUUUUUAGCAAGGUCAAAGUGUUAUGGGGCACUUUAAGUAAAGAGAUAAACUAAUCGUAUGCUCAUUUUUGAAGGGCCCUGCAAUAUUAAGUAAUCCACUAAAAUGAACAUGACAUCGGACAACCGUUCUAUACGAUAGGUCCUAACUUAUAAGCGAUAUUGAUUUUCUCCAAGAUUUGUUACCUUAGUCAAAUUUGCCUUGUUCAAAUGUUACCACGAUUGCAAUACAAGCACAAGAUUCCAAAUAAGUGAUUGAACCAAACUACAGUGAGAAGGAAUAUGUUAUUUGUCAGAUUUGAAAGCUAUCUAAUUUUAUACAAGUUACAAGUUACAAUUUUAAUUUAUGCUAUUAUCUAUUUUCAUCUAUUUAUUGUCUAUCAAACGGCGAAGUAGGUUAUUGGCUUCGGGAAUCUGUUAGCUAGUAGUUACUGCGGUCAGAUUCUUGUUAUUACACAAUAUAACAAUCAGAGUUAUCUGUUAUAUCGACUCUCAAUGUAUGGUACUGGUUGGCGGUAACAAGUUCCAAAACAUUCUUUAUGAAAUGAAUGUUUUUGAACUUGUUUAGUGGCGGACUUUAUAGGCUGCACCAGUACCGAUGAACUUGAUUUAUCACUGUAUUAUUAUUUCAUUUAGAACAUUAAUCCAUGUUAUCUUUAUUUUCACCUCAAACGAAAUUUCUCAUGUUGAUUUUGGACAUCUGUUGCCAGGGUUCAAUUCAGCACCCCAUUAUUUCAAAAUUUUCAUUUCAUUUUAGUUUUUAUUUGAAUUUUGAAUUUUAUUUAUCUAUUUUAUUUGCAUUUAAUUUACGGUUGCCCAAAGACCCUUUGUUUGUGGGUUGGUAACCGACAGAAGCCAUGAUCUUACUUCGCCAAUAAAAUAUAUUUUGACUUUAAUAACGUCUUCUCUCUUAUAAUUCGAUUUAAAGGGCUUGACCGUUAAAUCACGUUAUCAGAGGAAGACAAGACUUGCUACAGUUCAUGCACAGGUCAAUGUAACGCGCAUGUCUUAUUUCGAUUACACGGCAUAUCAAUUUUACCAGCUAAAGCACUCCUCACAAUAUUUUGAAUGCACGGUCUGCUAGGAAGUAACUAUAUAUAUCUAAGGUCAGAUUGUUGAGUUUAUUGUACGCAUAAUUAAUGUAAACCCACCCAUCCCUCCUCUUAUAUUUUUUCGAUACUGCUGUUUUAUGUCUUAUUUUACAGAUUUCUGCUUGUUUUUAACCUCAACAUAGAACUCCUGUCACGGCUUCUGGAUUUACAACUCUUCGCCAGUCUAUAAACACAAUUAACCACAUUAUGCCGUCCAUCUGACGAGUGAUAACGGAUUAACAGUCAUAGUGAAUCGAUAAAUAAUGUUAUGACAGUCUUUUAGAAGAGUUCAUCACUAGGAGUGGACUUUAUAGGCUGCACCAGUACCGAUGAACUUGAUUUAUCACUGUAUUAUUAUUUCAUUUAGAACAUUAAUCCAUGUUAUCUUUAUUUUCACCUCAAACGAAAUUUCUCAUGUUGAUUUUGGACAUCUGUUGCCAGGGUUCAAUUCAGCACCCC